This 1131-nucleotide long non-coding RNA is filed under the name Phasianus colchicus (ring-necked pheasant). RNAcentral describes it as "lncRNA (ENSPCLG00000017997.1)". The record is from RNAcentral. Lineage: Eukaryota; Metazoa; Chordata; Aves; Galliformes; Phasianidae.
AUGUACUCCAUCUCCCUGCUCACCCAGAACCAUUUAUUUCCCCUUCCAUGCACCAGUUCUCCACCUGUACAACAGAAGAGACACCACUGCCUCCAUCCACCUCAACCAGACAUCAGGCAGCAGCAUCCCAUGCUCACACCGCAUCCCUGGGAUCCAAUCCCAGAAGCCUCCAACAAGGCGGAGGAAUUUGGGAGGCAGCAUCACCUCCUCGCACUGCAGCAGCCACCCAGCAGACCUGCAUCCAUCGCCCCGGCCCUGCUGAGCAGCGCAGCUUCUAGAGGGCUCAGAGAGCAGCAAGGAUUUGCAGAACACUGCAGGGAGGUAUCCAGGCUGGGACAAGCCCUGGAGUGGAGCUGCAGAAGGGGAGCAGCCAGCAGCAGUGGUGCCUGCAGCACAGGGCAGCAGAUCCCUGCGGGCUGCUCACAGCACUGCAGCAACAGGCGGUGGAAAUGCUACGAGCAAACCGUAUGGCAUAGCAAGGGGAAAAUAAAUUAUAUACAUGCAUACACACGCGGAUAUAUUUAUAUACGCAUUGAUAUUUUUUUUUUUUUUUUUUUUUUAAAAAAAAAAAAGAGAGAGAGAGGGAGAAACAGUCAGCGAGAAUGCCGGGAACUAAGGGAAGCUGAGAGGGUGCACGCAGCUCCCGGGGCACCUCAGCAGCGACGGAAGGCCCCGGGGAAGGGGGAAUUCCUUACACACGGCUCCACCCCACCGCUUUCUGCCGCACAACAAUGGCAGAGCGAAGCGGUACCUCCCCGCAGCCGCUCAGCACGGGGCCGGAGCGCCGCACGAGCGGAUACGGCGAUGCUCAACGCAGAACGCUGCGGAGCACAGAGCCCCGCACGGCGGCGGGCGGCUCGGGGGAGAGGCAGCACCCCGCGGAGCAGCGCUCGGGGACGGACACCGCAGGACCACGCCGGGCUGGGAGCGGGGGGAGGCGGGGGUGUCAGCCCCUCCCGUUCGCCGUUUAACGAUUCAGGUUUUCUGAUCUUGGAAGGAAUCUCUGACCAUCUGGAUUUGGACUCCGCAAAGGAAAUCAGCCUUCCUGCCUCGGGGAACCUGUUGAAUUUGCAUCCCCUUUGGGCUCCAUCUGAAAUUGAGGGGAGGCUCUUCCAGCUUGCACACAGCUGA